UAACUUCGGGAAACCGGAGCUAAUACCGGAUAAUAUUUCGAACCGCAUGGUUCGAUAGUGAAAGAUGGUUUUGUCUAUCACUUAUAGAUGGACCCGCGCCGUAUUAGCUAGUUGGUAAGGUAACGGCUUACCAAGGCGACGAUACGUAGCCGACCUGAGAGGGUGAUCGGCCACACUGGAACUGAGACACGGUCCAGACUCCUACGGGAGGCAGCAGCAU
RNAcentral lists this ribosomal RNA (220 nucleotides) under uncultured Staphylococcus sp. RNAcentral describes it as "partial 16S ribosomal RNA". It matches the Rfam family "Bacterial small subunit ribosomal RNA", at positions 144 to 355 of the family's 1533-position model. Lineage: Bacteria; Bacillati; Bacillota; Bacilli; Caryophanales; Staphylococcaceae. The record is from RNAcentral.